GUCUGGAGCGCCCGUCUGCGUUGGCCCGGUCCCCUGGAGGUAUCGCGUUUGCAUUUGGGGGUGCAGAGUCCUUGCCUAGGGAGGUUGAGAACAAAAAGAAGAUGCACCUGGACUUUCCCCGGAGCCCUCUGCGUUUUUAAGGCGUCGGGUGGAGUUGGGGUUCGUAAGCCGCGUUCGUUAUUGAAAAUAGAAGUCACUUCUACCUUCCUCCCGUGGAAAACUUGUUAUCUUCCAUUCUGUGUUUCCUACAGAAGGCAUCUGUGGUGGUUCUUUAAGCUACAAAAAAUUGCCCAAGCUUGUGUGACAUCAACCCUGUCAAGUGUCCAUGAUGCUGGGCCCUGAGGGAGGUGAAGGCUAUGUGGUCAAACUCCGUGGCCUACCCUGGUCCUGCUCAAUUGAGGACGUACAAAACUUCCUCUCCGAC
Molecule: long non-coding RNA, 424 nt
Filed under: Rattus norvegicus (Norway rat)
Lineage: Eukaryota; Metazoa; Chordata; Mammalia; Rodentia; Muridae
Description: long non-coding RNA NONRATT020841
Source: RNAcentral